ACAGCACGUGUUACGAUGCUCCGUUAGUUCGGAGUUUUUACGGAGAAUCGUAGCGCGUGUUGUUU
MicroRNA precursor from Caenorhabditis elegans, 65 nucleotides. Lineage: Eukaryota; Metazoa; Nematoda; Chromadorea; Rhabditida; Rhabditidae. The record is from Ensembl.